GAUGAACGCUGGCGGCGUGCCUAAUACAUGCAAGUCGAACGCGCAGCGAAAGGUGCUUGCACCUUUCAAGCGAGUGGCGAACGGGUGAGUAACACGUGGAUAACCUGCCUCAAGGCUGGGGAUAACAUUUGGAGACAGAUGCUAAUACCGAAUAAAACUUAGUAUCGCAUGAUACAAAGUUAAAAGGCGCUACGGCGUCACCUAGAGAUGGAUCCGCGGUGCAUUAGUUAGUUGGUGGGGUAAAGGCUUACCAAGACGAUAAUGCAUAGCCGAGUUGAGAGACUGAUCGGCCACAUUGGGGCUGAGACACGGCCCAAACUCCUACGGGAGGCUGCAGUAGGGAAUCUUCCACAAUGGGCGCAAGCCUGAUGGAGCAACGCCGCGUGUGUGAUGAAGGCUUUCGGGUCGUAAAGCACUGUUGUAUGGGAAGAAAUGCUAGAAUAGGGAAUGAUUUUAGUUUGACGGUACCAUACCAGAAAGGGACGGCUAAAUACGUGCCAGCCGCCGCUGUAA
This 513-nucleotide ribosomal RNA is filed under the name uncultured bacterium. Its description in RNAcentral is "partial 16S ribosomal RNA". It matches the Rfam family "Bacterial small subunit ribosomal RNA", at positions 28 to 523 of the family's 1533-position model. The record is from RNAcentral.